AUAUUGAUUUGGCAGAUUAGUGCAUUAAAUUUAGAAUUUAAAUAUGUAUAUUUUACAUUCAAUA
Molecule: transfer RNA, 64 nt
Filed under: Ptomaphagus whiteselli
Lineage: Eukaryota; Metazoa; Arthropoda; Insecta; Coleoptera; Leiodidae
Description: tRNA-Leu
Source: RNAcentral